AGAGUUUGAUCCUGGCUCAGGAUAAACGCUGGCGGCGUGCCUAACACAUGCAAGUCGAACGCCCUUGCCUUCGGGUGAGGGAGUGGCGGACGGGUGAGUAACACGUGGGGAUCUACCUUUCGGUGAGGAAUACCGGCGAGAAAUCGCCGACAAUACCGCAUAGGUUCGGCAACGAACAAAGUCGCAAGACGCCGAAAGAUGACCCUGCGGCCGAUUAGCUAGUUGGUGAGGUCACGGCUCACCAGGGCGACGAUCGGUAGCUGGUCUGAGAGGACGAUCAGCCACACUGGGAUUGAGAACGGCCCAGACUCCUACGGGGGGCAGCAGUGAGGAAUUUUCGUCAGUGGGGGCAACCCUGAACGAGCAACGCCGCGUGCCGGAAGAAGGUCUUCGGAUCGUAAACGGCUUUUCAAAAGGACGAGAACGGACGGUACUUUUGGAAGAAGCCCCGGCUAACUACGUGCCAGCAGCCGCGGUAAUACGUAGGGGGCGAGCGUUGUCCGGAGUUACUGGGCGUAAAGGGCGCGCAGGCGGUCUGGUAAGUUUGGAGUGACAGUGCUCGGCUUAACUGAGCAAGGCCUUCGAAAACUGCCAGACUUGAGCACUCAAGAGGGACAUAGAAUUCCGGGUGGAGUGGUGAAAUGCGUAGAUAUCCGGAGGAAUACCAAAGGCGAAGGCAGUGUCCUGGGGAGUGUCUGACGCUCAGGCGCGAAAGCUAGGGGAGCGAACAGGAUUAGAUACCCCGGUAGUCC
RNAcentral lists this ribosomal RNA (752 nucleotides) under uncultured bacterium. Its description in RNAcentral is "bacterial SSU rRNA". It matches the Rfam family "Bacterial small subunit ribosomal RNA", at positions 8 to 796 of the family's 1533-position model. The record is from RNAcentral.